This 360-nucleotide ribosomal RNA is filed under the name uncultured bacterium. RNAcentral's name for it is "bacterial SSU rRNA". It matches the Rfam family "Bacterial small subunit ribosomal RNA", at positions 28 to 420 of the family's 1533-position model. The record is from RNAcentral.
GACGAACGCUGGCGGCGUGCCUAACACAUGCAAGUCGUACGCUUGUAAAAGCGUGGCGAACGGGUGAGUAUAAGCAAGGAACAUGCCUUAUUCCGGGAAAUACCCAGCCGAAAGGUUGGCUAAUGUCCCAUAGUCUCGCAAGAGUAAAGCUCCGGCGGAAUAAGAUUGGCCUUGCUCCUAUCAGCUAGUUGGUGAGGUAAAGGCUUACCAAGGCUUCGACGGGUAGCUGGUCUGAGAGGAUGAUCAGCCACAAUGGGACUGAGACACGGCCCAUACACCUACGGGUGGCAGCAGUUGGGAAUAUUGCGCAAUGGACGACAGUCUGACGCAGCGACGCCGCGUGAAGGAUGAAGGUUUUCG